AUUUUCCCAGUAAGACUCACUCAUCGCUCUUCGUUCAUCUUCCUAACGUAAGAAAAUGUUCUCGACAUCAUAAGAAUGUAUGGCUUAUGUAUUUACAUUAACAGUUAGAUUGCAUAGCCCAAUGAAGUGACCUUAACAUCUACAAAGUAUGACUUGGCAUAUUCCAAUGGAAAUUAUUCAACUCAGUUUGAAGGAAUAGGGUAAGAUCUGUAGUGACUACGGC
Non-coding RNA from Pelobates cultripes (western spadefoot toad), 223 nucleotides. Lineage: Eukaryota; Metazoa; Chordata; Amphibia; Anura; Pelobatidae. The record is from the annotation of a GenBank genome assembly.